UACGGAGGGUGCAAGCGUUAUCCGGAAUCACUGGGUUUAAAGGGUGCGUAGGCUGUUAGAUAAGUCAGUUGUGAAAUUCCCCGGCUUAACCGGGCGAACUGCGAUUGAUACUGUUUAACUUGAAUAUUGUUGAGGUAGGCGGAAUACAUCAUGUAGCGGUGAAAUGCUUAGAUAUGAUGUAGAACACCGAUUGCGAAGGCAGCUUACUAAGCAAAUAUUGACGCUGAGGCACGAAAGCGUGGGGAUCAAACAGGAUUAGAUACCCUGGUAGUCCACGCCCUAAACGAUGAUUACUCGACGUACGCGAUACACAGUGUGCGUCUAAGCGAAAGCAUUAAGUAAUCCACCUGGGAAGUACGACCGCAAGGUUGAA
This 373-nucleotide ribosomal RNA is filed under the name uncultured bacterium. RNAcentral's name for it is "bacterial SSU rRNA". It matches the Rfam family "Bacterial small subunit ribosomal RNA", at positions 524 to 898 of the family's 1533-position model. The record is from RNAcentral.